Molecule: ribosomal RNA, 317 nt
Filed under: Clostridioides difficile P28
Lineage: Bacteria; Bacillati; Bacillota; Clostridia; Peptostreptococcales; Peptostreptococcaceae
Description: partial 16S ribosomal RNA
Source: RNAcentral
GAGCCUUGUAUGUGUUAUGAUGAACACAAGUCAUAUCAAGGCUCUUUCCAACAAGGAAAGGAGCAGACACCUUGAAAGAGAAAAGACGGGAUAACAAAGGUCGUGUCCUGCACACAGGAGAGAGCCAGAGAAAAGACGGAAAAUACUUAUACAAAUAUGUAGACGCAUUUGGAAAUACACAGUAUGUGUAUGCUUGGAGAUUGACACCCACAGACGUAACCCCAAAGGGGAAACGGGAAAAGCCCUCGCUUCGGGAAAUGGAACAGCAGAUACGACGUGAUAUGGAAGACGGUAUCGACAGCAAGGGAAAGAAAAUG